RNAcentral lists this long non-coding RNA (1385 nucleotides) under Heterocephalus glaber (naked mole-rat). RNAcentral's name for it is "lncRNA (ENSHGLG00000040403.1)". Lineage: Eukaryota; Metazoa; Chordata; Mammalia; Rodentia; Bathyergidae. The record is from RNAcentral.
GUUUCACCCAAUUGUCACAAAGCAAGAAACACAAGCCCAGUGUGCGGCAGACAAGGCUCUGGACAAAGGGCUGUUUUCAUCGCCCCUCUCCCCAGCUCAGGGAUGGCUGCACAGCAAGCCAGGCCAGCCUGUGGGGCCUUUCUCUGCCUUUCAGGGGCCUGGGGAUGGAAUCCAAGUCCUUGCACAUGGCAGGCGAGUGACCCAUCACUGAGCUACACCGAGCUAGCUCCCUCUUCCUAAGACAAAUCCAGCCGUUGCUGCAGGAUGAUGGAGGCCUUGGUGCCCUGCAGGGUGGGGCUGUCGGAGAACAAAGAGCUAGAGGAACUUCAACCCACAUGGCCUGUGGCAGCCUCUGCACAAUGGAGAAUCAUAUUUGGAGGCCGAAGGAAGCAGGCCCAGCUGGAAAUGGAAGUGGUGGGAGGCCUUUCUCCACCUGGUUCCCACUCACCUGCUGGAAUAGACUAUCUUCUACCUCAGGGAAAGCCCUUGCCAGCAGGACGCCCCCAGGGGUGACUUGUGACCAGUGACUCUGAUGUCUGUGGUGCACAUUUGGAACAGCCCAGGAGGGCCGUGGGUUCCGGAUGGGCGCAGUGGUGUCCCUUGUCUCUAUCCCACUGCACAGUCCUGCCCUCCCAUCCCUGGCAACCAUGUCCCCCAGGAAGCAGACUCCACAUGGGAUUUCUUGCCAACAGAGGCAGGCGCUUUGGGCCCAUGACAAAUGGCAGGUGGAGCAGAGCGUUUGCCACCCUUCCAAGGAAUAUGAGCCAGGAGGUACUGUAUCAGAGGGAGACCCAGUUGUGUGUACAACUUCCUGGUGUGUGUAAGAGGUUAGAGGAGCCUGGAGCUGGGACUGCAGGCUGCUCUGAGCACGGCACAUAAGGUGAUGAAGAGAGAAGACUGAGUCCAUCAAAAUGUGACAAAUGCUCCUCUUUGGAGCAUUCAAGGAAAUCCCAAGUUCCCGCAUUUGAGGGAAGGGUGUUGGAGGACAGAAUGGGGAGUGGACUGUGCAAAGGACCAGGCUCAGAAGUUACUCACAGGAGUGGUGCAGCUCUUAGCCGGCCAGGGCUCUCGUGCAAGGUCAGAACAGAGAUGGGAAAGGGUAGAUGGAACAGGGAGGUGUUGGUGGGCAGACCCAGGAAGACUCUGGAAGUUCAGAUUCCUGUGAACAGGGGUUUCUGCGGAAGUGAGCACUCCCCGCUGAAAGGGAAGUGUGGCUGCCCUCCUCGUCCUGCGUGAGGCCCACACCAUGGCCUGGAGUGGGCAGGUCUCCAACAAGACAACACCUCCUACCUCUUCAAUGCAUCGGGGCAGCCAAACAGAUUGGAAGAGAGGGUCAGAUCUCUGUGCAGCCCCACUAGGAGGUGCUGGAUGUGCUACGGGAGGAA